Oncorhynchus mykiss (rainbow trout) is the source of this 259-nucleotide non-coding RNA. The record is from RefSeq and is a predicted model, not a curated record. NCBI's taxonomy places the organism in Eukaryota, Metazoa, Chordata, Actinopteri, Salmoniformes, Salmonidae.
GGUAGUGGUACAUCACUGGGUAGUGGUACAUCACUGGGUAGUGGUACAUCACUGGGUAGUUACAUCACUGGGUAGUGGGUACGGCCCAGUACAUCACUGGGUAGUGGUACAUCACUGGGUAGUGGUACAUCACUGGGUAGUUACAUCACUGGGUAGUGGUACAUCACUGGGUAGUGGUACAUCACUGGGUAGUGGUACAUCACUGGGUAGUGGUACAUCACUGGGUAGUUACAUCACUGGGUAGUGGUACAUCACUGGG